AGAAGUAAUCAUACUUAACAUGUUUUUAUUACUGUAUUGUAUACUUAAACUUGUUAGUGUAUAAAUGUAACAUACUGUGGGUGCUGGUAGGUGAAGGAUUAGUGGUUCUUCACCACAGGACUGUUCUGUGAUGGAGCAUCAGUAAUGAUGCAGGUCAGGAGUACUGAGGGGACCAUGGUGAGAAUGAAAACAAAAGCCUCAAUCCUCAACCUCAGCCGUAUAAAUCUUUUGGAGAUUUUUCCCUCUACUCCACAGCAUGAUGGAAGCCUGCUGGAGAGUGACUGAGCUUCUUUCUCCAACACAUCCACUGCAUUGGGGAGCUCCAUGAGGAUUGUCAUCUGUUUGCCGUGUUGCAGUUUUGCAUUUUCCACAGAUGCUGGCAAAUCGGAUUAAUUUGUGGACAAUGUAGCCUGCGAGAUGGAAGAGAAUACAUUUCUCUGUUUUUGUGAGGUCAGGUGCUGUUCUGUUCUCCACCAUCAGCUGUUCCACUCUGACUGAUGGAGUGACGUUUUGUUUCACUGUUUCCAGGAAGUCUGCCAAAAAACUACUGUCAUCUUCCUGGUAGCUCCCAGAGGUGAUGGCGCUGAAGAACUGACCUACGGAUA
RNAcentral lists this long non-coding RNA (605 nucleotides) under Carassius auratus (goldfish). Its description in RNAcentral is "lncRNA (ENSCARG00000028741.1)". Lineage: Eukaryota; Metazoa; Chordata; Actinopteri; Cypriniformes; Cyprinidae. The record is from RNAcentral.